GACAAUGUGGCCUAGUGGUUAAGGCACCAGGCUAGAAAGCAGGAGACUGUGGGUGCUGGUCUCACAUUAGUCA
Molecule: transfer RNA, 73 nt
Filed under: Ophiophagus hannah (king cobra)
Lineage: Eukaryota; Metazoa; Chordata; Lepidosauria; Squamata; Elapidae
Rfam family: tRNA
About the family: Transfer RNA (tRNA) molecules are approximately 80 nucleotides in length.
Source: Rfam by way of RNAcentral